GCCUGCUGGUGGCUCUGGGCAUUGUACCUAAUGAGCUGACAGCAGGUUAGCUGCAGCAAGGUUGUCCCCGUGGGGCUGCGAAUCCUGCCUUAACCAAGCUGACUGGUACUUCUGCUUCUCUGCAUCUGCAAUGAGCCCUGGACUGCUGCAGAGGAUACAGCAGAACUGAGAGGAAAACAGCAGCAGCAGUGCCUGGAGUGCUGCAGGAUGUCGCCAGGAGCUGCCUAGGCUGGGCUGAUGUCCUCUGUCUGCUGCAUGGCCAUAUCCUGCAGAGAGGAAGGGAGGCGGGCAGAGCCCCUUUCAGCGCCUCCUAGCUCAAGUUGGAGUGAAUGAUGGGAGACCCAAGUGCUGUACGGCAUUAGGCUUGGUGAUCUCCCAUGGAGAAAGGUUAAGACUUCUCUCCUGCAAGCAGAAACAUGUCUACUGUGGUUCUCUAGAAAGCAGAGUUUGUAUAGACUUGGUGGGGACCGUGCUGACUUUGCCAUCAAGUCUGUAGGAAGACGAUUACAAUACUUCCCAGAAAGCAUCCUAUGCCAGCGACUGGUGUUGGUACACUGCCCUGUGAACGUUCUCAAAAAGCCAAGAGCUUAUCAGUGACAGUGGGGCAGGACCCCGGUUCAGGUUACUGCCACCCUCCAGGAGCAGGCCGGGCAGAUUCACCUCCAGUAUCGAUGUACCUUACUUGCAGUUUCCUUGGAAAAUCUACUUCUGACCAAAAGACCCAGAAACUAUUUUGAACAAAACAGCAUUUCCCUUUUACUUUUGCCUCAUAAGUAUGAAACAAUUGCAUUUGUAGACUGUUUCGACACGAGAAGCAAAAUUUCUGCUGAAAAUGGCUCUGUGAUUUCACACCUGUGAUUCAGAGCAAAACCUGGGAAGGACACAGAAGAAACCACACCCCAGGUGUGUGUAUCCGCAUUCCCACUGCAGAUGUGGCUAACGUGAUGGCUUCAUAAACAUAGAAUCAUAGAAUUGUAGGAUCAUUAAUGUUGGAAAGACCUCUAAGAUCACCUAAUCCAACCAUCAGCCUACCACCAGCAUGCCCGCUGACCACAUCUCCAUGGUUCUUGAACAUCUCCAGGGAUGGAGACUCCACCACCUCUCUGGCUGGUAUUCAAUGCUCUCUGCAAGCACUUGACAGUCCUUUGCACUGCUGCCUGUAUCUGCACACUGGAGGCCAACCUGCUGCUUGAAAGAAAAUCACUCUCAGAAUCACAGUGCCAGGGGAGCCUUCUCCUUAGGAACACCCUAUUCAGGAUCCUUCUGCUCCCAGUCUGUGAUAUCCAAUGCACAGGAAUACACACAGAGGAUCUGCCUCUCUUGGGCUCACUGCUCUCCAAUGCAAGCCUGCAGUUGCAGUCUGCAGUUUGGGCUCUGUUGGUAGCACUGCACUGGCUGCUGACCCUUCCAGGAAGUGCUUUCCUCCUGUACCUCCUCCCACCACCUUGCUUGCGAUCCCAAGUGCUGACCUACAGGAUACCGUGAUGAUCCAGCAUCACCUCCACUGGGCCCCCAGCUGCCGGCUAAUGGAGAGGCCCUGCUGCGCCACGUGUUCCUGUAAGCCUUGGGUCAUCCCAUUUCACGGCUUCUCAGAAGGCAUCUGUCAGUGCGUCCGUUUCAUGAAGUACACAGAACGGAGAUUAAGUUGCAUUUCAACCACCCUUUCCUUUCUUACCAAGCACUUUGCGUAGGAGUGGCAGCCCCUUUGUUAACUGAUGGGAAGAUAUGAGUUUGUGCUUCUGGUACAUCCCUAAUGGGGGAACAGUCCUUCCAGAACUCCCAGCAUCUCCUCUCCACUAAGGUGCUCAGCAAUCCUUCAGCUAGAAGAGGUGGAAAGAGAAAAGGUGGGCAGGUUUGCUAGCAUAGAGCUGCAAGAGAAGGAAGAAACUGAGAAAUGAAGAGCUGCAAUAACACGGGGACAUUUUUGCCAGAGGUACUAAUACCAAGAACAGCUGCCUGUCACUGAACUGCUUUUCCCCUUUGCUCACUAGGACACGUUAAAUAUGCAGAAGCUGCGUCACCUCCCUUGACAGACAACUUUGGAGAUGUUUCCUGUAUGUGGGGCUGCCUAAGAGUCUGCAGACAGUUGGAGCCAGCCCGGAGCUCCCAGAAAUCACGAGGGAAGCCAGGCUGUGCAGCCACCUCCCAGGGAUAUCACAAGUCCCUGCUGGGUGCAUGCAUGGUGCCACGAGGACCUCUGUUUGUGCAGGACCAUUGCUCUGAGAGUGCUUCCCCUGCUGCUAUUGCAGCUCUCUGCAAGACCUCAUAUUUCUCAACCGAUUUCCUUCCAGCCCCACAUUUGCGAGUGCUGAGGGCUGUGGCAAUUGAGUGAUCAAGCACUCUCCCUGCCAGCGUUUUCUACCCGGGCCUCGUGCUGACCCUCAGGGUUAUCAGAAAAGCCUUUCGUCAGACGUCAGCCGGAGCAGAAAUUGGCAUGGAGACAGCGCUGCAAUUCUGUAAGGCGUUGCACUUGUACUGGCAAAGGUGGAGAAUGCAGCCCUGGCAUUUAUGGUGCAUCAGCCCACGCAUGGUCACAGUGCCUGACGACGCAAAGAAGAAUUGCGGCUGUAAAAUUGCCCAUAGCAGCUGAGCAUCCACUUUGCCUUGCCUCAUCCUCAGGAUGCGGGGCGCUCUCUCAAGGAGCAGUUUCUCGCUGGUUUAACAGCCUGCAGGACCGCCCAGCUGCACGUUGCAGAGGAUGCUUGGCUGUGAGAUCCCAGCCCCAUGCCCAAGGGCGUGGCUGAAAGGGCUGCAGGAGGACUUCCUGUCCGCACCAGAUCAGGUUACACUGCUGUCCUGUUUCCCCUACCACUUAAGUCUGGGAUGUACGUGUUGGGAGCAGAAAUCCAUAGGAGGUAUUGGAGAACAAAUGUGGACCAGAGCUCAAAGAAAGCCCAGCCUAACUAUUGCCACCUCCUCUCCCAGGUCUCCAUCCAGCCUCAUGCGGCACUGGUACCUGAGUGAGCAGGGAGCCCAAGAGCAACACCUGUGUCUGCUUCCAGUUGUUGCAGGAAUACAAUCUCUCCAAACACUCGUGCGGCUGCUGUAUUAUUUAACAAGCCUCCUGCUUAGGAAAAACAGCAUAAAAAUGGAGAUGCUGAAAACAGAGGAUCCUGCUGUAGGCUGCUCCAUAAUACCUUCCUGUUCAGUGAAGAUGUGGUAAUGGAUGUUUUCACUGCAGCCUCACUCCACUCGUGGUGACGAGUUCCCGUAUCCUGUACUUUGCUUGUGCUACACUGCAAGCUUGUGCUCAUCCACUUCAAUGUGUGUUCUGUGAGGCAGCUGAUUCCACUUCCUUUAAAGCAUCCAGAGAAGGACCCUCCAGCACUAACAGAUAAGGCACAUGUCUCUUUAUGGCUUAUCCCUUAGAUUUUGAAGCUGAGAAAUCUACUUUUUGCCUGGGGAAAAUAUUAGCCAACAUCACUAGGAGGUUAAAGCCUUUGGUCACAGGUUACGCUAUAGUUGGUAUUACAAACAAUUUUUUUUCAUGCUGUCAAAGAGCAAAUUAGAAAAUAUACUGAUGUUCUUAUAUGUUAUCUCUUACUAUCAUUAACAAAUGAGACUUCGGAAAAGGUUUAGCCAUCAGACUGGUUUUUAUUGCCAUGAUGUGAAAGAUUGGGAUGCAGUGGGACCCAGUGCAAAUCAAUACCCAUUUUGUCUUCUUUCUUUAUGCCCUUUCUGCUUCCUCUGUGAAUGACAGAACUUCGAGGCUUUCAGCUCAAAACCCCCUGGUGGGAUGAGUGACUUGUGAAAGUGGGAUCACGCUGGCUACAAGAAUCCAUGCCGCAGAGCUCAGGACCAUGCAGGCAUCUCACUGUCCAGAAGUUCUGGAUGAAUUCAGCUCCUGACCUUCUCACCUUGGUUUGAAGUGGGAAUUGCUGUAUAGCUUGGUCUCUUACUCUUCUGACCCUCUAUGUUUUAUGCAUCUAGUAAUGUUAUUCCUUAAAAUAAUCUACUCACAGAGUAUGGCAUUUCCUAUAAUCAGAUAAUCUUGAUGGUAUAAAAAAAAUAAAAUGCUAAUAACUAAAACAGCAUCCAAAGAAAGGAUGCCUCAUCCAAAAACAUCUUCAUAAAAGGCAUAUCUUUAAAUCGAGACACCAGUCUAUGUUAUCCACAAAGACCAGUAAUCACAGACUGAAUUGUAAGAGCUUUCUCCAUGUGCGUACUACAAAACUUGGGAGUGAUUUGCCAAACAGAAAAGCAUACAUUGAUCAGGGAAAUAAAAGCUUCACCACUGAUCCUCUGAGAGGUGAUGGCUAUUAGCAGAAAGAAACUCAACACUGAUCUGGAAAGUGCAAUGUGAAGAUGCCACACAACGCCAAAUAUGAGGACAGUGCUGUGUGCUCUCUGCUUCUAUCAGUCGUGUAACGAGAAGGGUGUUUCUACCUGAAGUACAGACACCUGGCUUCCUACUCAAGCACCACAAGCAAUCUCCUCUGGUAACACAAACUGCUUACUUCACCCCAGAGUUAGAGCUCACUGUAGAACCAUCUGGUUUGGAGUUGUCUUGUCACUACCCAUCUUGUGAAAGAUAUUUUCAGGAUGCUAACAACUCCAUCCAAAAAGUUCUUCUGUUUUGUCACCCAUGAUCACAUAUAUUUAGAUGCCAUAUGCCCUGUAUUCUCCUUCUCCGGAAGCUCUGGGUUGAUUUGUGCCAAGAACUGAAUGUAAGAAAUUUGCCUUUUGUGUGUUAUUGUUCAUAGACUCUCACUCAGCCCCUGGGACUGAGGCAUAACGUAUAUGCGUACAUACUUGAAAAUAGAUUGUCUUGGUGUCCCACUCACAAACUGUGAGCCAACCCGCCUCCCCCACUCCUUGAUGGGAGUCAUUUUGCCAUUUGGGGCUUAUGAAGCAAGAUCUUUGCUAACCCUCUUGUUCUCUGAAAUGCUAUAUAUUGUCUUCCCCUUCAUCCCAGCCUACAGGCAGAACCAGCAUGUGAGGAUGUACGAUGCAUGAUUCAAUGUCAUGCAAAAAUUCUGCUGAACUCCUCACAUUCUGCAGCAAUAGUAAUCUUUGUCUGGUCUGCGACCGGAGAAAGCAAGCUCCAAAGCGUGCAAAGCGUGUUUGACCUUACUUUCAAACACCCGUGUGCACACUCAAAGCCCCAGAGAACUCAUUACAUUCACAGUCUAGAAACUGGUGUUUUGUUCUCCGUCCCUGCUCCGUCUGCCUUUGGAUGAAUGCAGCUGAAAAUGUCAGAGAUGCAGCUCCUAUGUAACGUAAGAGGAGGAUUACAGCUUUCCUGACAUCGGAAGGGGGGGUUACAACAAUGCAGCUGACGUAGGAAAGGACAGAUUACAGUGCAUCUGACAUAGUAGGAAUUAUAGAAAAUGUAUUUACAGCGAUGGCUGGAAAAUGAAUUUAAUAUGCUGUUCCAGAGGACAAUAAAGGCGUGUUGCAACAGUUCUCCCCCCUCUGGAAAGUCGUGUUUCUCACUUGUCCAUCAGCACAAACAAUCUGUGCUGUAUGGCAGGAAAUAUCGGACGCAAAUAUCGCAUUAAUCUCUACGGAAGGAUACCUGUUAUCGUAACUUGCUCAUUCACUAAGGUCUCUCAGUAGUGGCUCAGACAAUAGGUGGAUAUAUCAGGUUUUCCCCCUGGGAGAAGUGUACCACAGG
Gallus gallus (chicken) is the source of this 5617-nucleotide long non-coding RNA. NCBI's taxonomy places the organism in Eukaryota, Metazoa, Chordata, Aves, Galliformes, Phasianidae. The record is from Ensembl.